CCUACGGGAGGCAGCAGUGGGGAAUUUUGGACAAUGGGGGCAACCCUGAUCCAGCCAUGCCGCGUGCAGGAUGAAGGUCUUCGGAUUGUAAACUGCUUUUGUCAGGGACGAAAAGGGAUGCGAUAACACCGCAUUCCGCUGACGGUACCUGAAGAAUAAGCACCGGCUAACUACGUGCCAGCAGCCGCGGUAAUACGUAGGGUGCAAGCGUUAAUCGGAAUUACUGGGCGUAAAGCGUGCGCAGGCGGUUCUGUAAGAUAGGUGUGAAAUCCCCGGGCUCAACCUGGGAACUGCACUUAUGACUGCAGGACUGGAGUUUGUCAGAGGAGGGCGGAAUUCCAAGUGUAGCAGUGAAAUGCGUAGAUAGUUGGAAGAACACCGAUGGCGAAGGCAGCCCUCUGGGACAUGACUGACGCUCAUGCACGAAAGCGUGGGGAGCAAACAGGAUUAGAUACCCCAGUAGUC
Molecule: ribosomal RNA, 465 nt
Filed under: Escherichia coli
Lineage: Bacteria; Pseudomonadati; Pseudomonadota; Gammaproteobacteria; Enterobacterales; Enterobacteriaceae
Description: bacterial SSU rRNA
Rfam family: Bacterial small subunit ribosomal RNA
Source: RNAcentral